This 460-nucleotide ribosomal RNA is filed under the name uncultured bacterium. RNAcentral's name for it is "partial 16S ribosomal RNA". It matches the Rfam family "Bacterial small subunit ribosomal RNA", at positions 338 to 795 of the family's 1533-position model. The record is from RNAcentral.
CCUACGGGUGGCAGCAGUGAGGAAUAUUGGUCAAUGGGCGCGAGCCUGAACCAGCCAAGUAGCGUGAAGGAUGACUGCCCUACGGGUUGUAAACUUCUUUUAUAAAGGAAUAAAGUGCGGCACGUGUGCCUUUUUGUAUGUACUUUAUGAAUAAGGAUCGGCUAACUCCGUGCCAGCAGCCGCGGUAAUACGGAGGAUCCGAGCGUUAUCCGGAUUUAUUGGGUUUAAAGGGAGCGUAGAUGGGUUGUUAAGUCAGUUGUGAAAGUUUGCGGCUCAACCGUAGAAUUGCAAUUGAUACUGGCAGGCUGGAGUGCAGUUGAGGUAGGCGGAAUUCGUGGUGUAGCGGUGAAAUGCUUAGAUAUCACGAAGAACUCCGAUUGCGAAGGCAGCUUACUAAACUGCAACUGACAUUGAGGCUCGAAAGUGUGGGUAUCAAACAGGAUUAGAUACCCUUGUAGUC